This 71-nucleotide transfer RNA is filed under the name Marmota monax (woodchuck). RNAcentral's name for it is "tRNA.Ala". Lineage: Eukaryota; Metazoa; Chordata; Mammalia; Rodentia; Sciuridae. The record is from RNAcentral.
GGGGUUGUGGCUCAGUGGCAGAGCAUUCGCCUCGCACAUGCGAGACCCUGGUUUCAAUUCUCAGCACCACA